CCUUUCAGCGUCAACGCGCUGAAAGGUGGAACAAAGCAAUUUAUGGGUAGAUUAAGUUUUCCCCAUAAAAAAGAAUAUUCAGGCGCAGCGGCAGCUAAAGUGAGAGACUCAGUGUUCGGCGCUGCUUUAUUAAAGCAUUAAAGUCCGUUACCUGUCGUACAUGGAACAAAUUAUGUUCUGUUAGGAAUGCAUUAACCUUGAUGUACGCCACUAUUUGUGUGUGCGCGUGUGUGUGUGUGUGUGUGUGUGUGUGUGGUCUUUAGCGCUGAUUACACUUCCAUCUAACCACAGAAUGCAGUGUUCUUCUCAUUAGGACGGCCGCGUCUUUCUCACCUCUGUCUUCUUCACACUCAUCGGCGUCUUCCUGCGUCCCUUUUUUCGUUUGAACAAUUCUAUCACAUUUUUGAUCACUUUCUACUCUUUCUUUUCCACCGUGUUCACGGUCACACCCGUCACUCAUGGGGUUGUGUGUGUGUGUGUGUGUGUGUGUGUGUGUGUUGGGUUGUCUAGCCUCCACCAUUUGCUUUUUGUGACCUGGGUUCCAUACGGAGGUCGUUUCCUCAGUAGACGAUGUGAACACCAACGGAAACUUGAUUAACUGAAAGAAAAAAAAAAGACGUCCAAGAUGGCGCCGAAAAAAAAAAUCCUCCAACUGCAGUCGGAACAAAGACGUCACCUGUGUGGCUGCGCAGCACACGGAGGCUAAUAGGCCGUGAUUUAUUGAGGGGCAAAACCAGACCUCUGGCUCUGAGCCUGAUGUCACAGCACGUGCACGUGCACACUCUGUCACUCACGUGCACUCAGAGAGGCGUCAAGCUCCACUUGGUCCGGAUGGAAUCGGGAUUACACACACACACACACACACACACACACACACACACAGCCCGGCCCUUAACAACAAGAAGACAAUUAAUCUCCGAUUAGCCAGGCCAAGAGCGCCAGGUGUUCAAUUAGUUACCUGUGUGUGUGUGUGUGUGUGUGUGAGAAAGACCCUCAUUGGAAAUUGGGUUGAAACUGAUUCAUUGGCACAGCGAGGCGAAGCUGGGUGGCACCUGUGUGUGUGUGUGUUUGUGCGUUUGUGUGUGUGUGUGUGUGUGUGUGGAGCUUGUCGUGGAGACAGUGGGUGUUUUUUUUUAAGUCUGUGAAAGGUGGGGUGCAGCCAACUACAGCACCCUACCCAUGUUCCAUCAUCGCCUCAUGCACACGUACUAUACACACACACACACACACACACUCACACACACACCCUCCUCAGUUGGCUUCUUGUUUUUUUCGGGCAUGCAGCGGUUGAGGCUUGACAGGUAAGGGAGUUAAACGAGCUUCCUGCGAUGGCGCCGCCGGGAGAACAUGCAGAGCAGAGCGGUUCCACGUCCUGCUUUGUGGACAUUCGGUGCUUUCGUCGGCCGGACGUCUCUCUCUCUCUCUGCGCAUCGUGCUGCAGGUGAAGGCGGAUCUGGAGGGAGAGACACUGCAGCAGGUUUCUUAAGGUCUUCAGUGGCUCUCGCGUACAGCUGAGCUGUGCCAGGUUCAGAAGGACGAGUCGAAUCCCGGUGCAGAAAUCAGCUCCAGCUGUGGGACUUAAAGUGCAAAUCUGCAAAACCUAAAGAUGCACCAGGCAGAACUGAACUCAACCACAUUCCUGCACCCUGCGUCCCGCAUCAUGUGUCGCGCUGUUUCAGGCAAUCCAAGAGUCCAGUGUGAGAUCGACCGUCGGAUUUGACUUUGGCGAAAGUGUUGAGCUCUCCGGGGUUGAUGUUUUCUCGCCCGUGCAGGUCAUGUGACCACGGCAACCACCAGAGAACACAUUCAACUUAUUUUACUGACGCGUACAGGAACUUGAAUUCAUCACCAAACCAUUGCAAAGAAACAUAGAAAUACGAAAUCUCCGAUGUCGGGAGACGCUCUGAUGGGACAGUCCACUCGCUAACUAACCCUCCACCGGCUCCUAGAGCAGCAUGUUGAUUAUGUGUGUGUGUGUGUGUGUGUGUGUGUGUGUAGCCUGCAGGGGCAACCAACCACACCUCACUGUGCAACUCUGUGCAUAAAUUAACCUUGUAAACUUGUAAAUAAUUUGCUUGAUGAAUUAUUUAGGGGACAAGAACUGAUUCUCGUUGGCUCCUCAUUGGCUAAAAAUACAAACCGCCCGCAGCCGUUCUAGUUUCUGGUGCCUGGUUCAGUUUUUCCGUCGUGAGUUACGCGGUCAACAUUUCUUUUGGUGACAUUUAGGAGGUUUGCUAUCAGCUGCUGUUGGACCUCGAGUCCGACGCAGUGUGGACAGAAAGGACGCGACACGGCAAAGGAAAGUGGCGCUGACUCAAUGCUGAGUCAGCGGCGUGUGCGCAAAGUGGCGCUGGUGUUAUUUUGAAGGCGCGUUCAUGCCGCGUUUGCCGCUCUCGUUGCUUUUCCUUUAACCCUAAUCGAGUGUUUCCAUCUGUGAGAGCGUCUCACUUGAGGAGCGUCGGGGAGAGAAGAAGCUGCAGUUAUCACGGUGGUGUUUUCACGUCCGCUCAUCACUCUGCUUUCUCUACACAUUCUUCGUGUUGUGAAUGAGGCAACGUUGUUCAGCGUCUGCGAUAUGCAGAGCGGGUUACGCGCCCGCUGUGCGACGAGUACAAGAGGGCGCGAGAUGUUGUUCUUCUGGGAGCUCGACGCUGCUCAUGACCGACGGCACUUUUCGCACGCUGCAGGUCUUGACGUGCACGUGAUUCACAGAUGAAAAUCCCCCCACGGCAGCUGUGAAGCAGAGUGGGCGACAAUAUGAACCCACAAUCAGGGUGGUUGAGUCCGUCUGUCCUUUGUGUUUCCAAAGUACACACAGUCCCACACGGAGGGUGUUUGUUGUAUGUGUUGGAAGAGCUGAGGUGAACAGAAGUAGCAUCUCCCCCUCCUCCCCCUCCC
Gasterosteus aculeatus aculeatus (three-spined stickleback) is the source of this 2898-nucleotide long non-coding RNA. The record is from Ensembl. Lineage: Eukaryota; Metazoa; Chordata; Actinopteri; Perciformes; Gasterosteidae.